RNAcentral lists this ribosomal RNA (1807 nucleotides) under Rosalina vilardeboana. RNAcentral's name for it is "eukaryotic LSU rRNA". It matches the Rfam family "Eukaryotic large subunit ribosomal RNA", at positions 1 to 1286 of the family's 3401-position model. Lineage: Eukaryota; Foraminifera; Rotaliida; Rosalinidae. The record is from RNAcentral.
CACAUCAGCUCGAGUGAGGAUACGCGCUAAACUUAAACAUAUCAGUCGGCGCACGUAACAAUAGAAACUAACCAGGUUCCCUUAGUAACGGCGAGUGAAGCGGGAAGUAAUGCAUACGAUCACGUAAGAUUCGUCUCGCGUGUUUCGUAGCUAAGCCCAUCGAUAGAAUCCGUUCUUCAGUGCCUCGGCCCAGGGGAGGAAUUGUAGCAUCGAAAUUUAAAACAAAUCAUGUUGUACUGUCUAUUACUUACAAUUGACUAUACUACUAACCUCUGGUAACUAUCUCUCUCACAAUUUACACUUACAUUAAACACAGUGAGCGCGCGCCGAAGUUGUCGUACGUACAAUACGUGAGCAAGCAUUCAUGUCUUAUACAUACAAUCAAAGACACAGCGUUUAGCGCUGGAAAGCAAUUCGUAGUUUUACUGCAGCCAUAGAGUGUGACAGCCACGUUUUAAUGGUUAUGCAUGAAUACNCUGCCGCGUAAACUUUGUACACGCAUACGUAUACGUCAUUCAAUAGCACAGUAGUUUUGUAAUUCGUGAUUGUUGAUACCUGAGUCGAGUUGUUUGGGACUACAGCUCAAAUUGUUUGGUGGUGGUAAUGACACAUCAAAGGCUAAAUAAUGGUGUUUAAUCACAACAUGCAAUGGAAACCGAUAGCAAACAAGUACCGUAAGGAACGAUGAAAAGCACCCUUCAUAGCACGCAUGCUACGGCAAUGUGAUUUAUAUUUACGCAUUACAGCAUGCAAGCUCCAAAGGGAGUGAAAGAGAGAGUGAAAUCGCCUUACAGCGAAACAACAAUACUAACUUUGUAUAACACAGAUUAACAGCACGUCGCGCAUCGUAUUGAUCUUAACUGUAUCAUACAGAUUCACGCGUCGUGCGCAAUACACAUUUAAUCUAUAUUUCAGCGAAGUACAAUCGGACAGAGCGCUUUUGCUUCAAUUCUUUGAAGGUAGCGGGCUAUUAUGCAACGUAUACUGCAUGUAUGCCACGCUAUUUGUCUUCUGACAAAACGAGGCGCAACUAUCCAACCCGUCUUGAAACACGGACCAAGGAGUUCAACUGGAUUGCGAGUCGUAGAGUUAUACACAAUAAACUCAUUGCGGCGAAGCGAAAGCAAAAUUGUGCCAACUCAUUUAAACCAGAGUGCAGCACGGGCUGAUUGUGGACAUGCGCGUGAACUCGUACGUAUGCUUUGAUCUGUCAUUCGUGACUAAUGUCAAAGAUCAAUCAAGCCAGAGAGCAUAUUAGUUGAGACCCGAAAGAUGGUGAACUAUGCUCGGACAUGGUGAAGCCAGGUGAAAACUUGGUGGAAGCUUGCGUUGUGCGGAACUGACGUGCAAAUCGUUGCCGCCUGACCUGAGUAUAGGGGCGAAAGACUCAUCGAACCAUCUAGUAGCUGGUUCUCUCCGAAGUUUCUCUCAGGAUAGCUCGAAUUAAUCAAUAUCAGUAAAGAGUAACACAAGGUAAAGCAAUGAGACGCGGUAUCUGUGGGUCUUAUUUAAAUGACCUCGGCCUUCUCUCAAACUUUAAAUCUGUGCGACAACUGUCUGCCUUCUUUAAAGCGCUGUAUUGCAUUUGUGAUGCGCGCGCGAGGUGACGUUUUGUAUCUAUAAUUCGUAGUGGGCCUAUUUCUGGUAAGCAGAGCUGGCGAUGAGGGAUUCAACCUGACGUUCUCAAGAUAAGCCGGGCUUAAUCAUAUCUGCUCCAACCUUCCGAUAAACGCGAAAGGGUGUUCCGUGUGGUGCAGACAGCAGGACGGUGGCCAUGGAAGUUGGAAUCUGCUAAGGAGUGCGUAAC